This 1482-nucleotide long non-coding RNA is filed under the name Gadus morhua (Atlantic cod). RNAcentral's name for it is "lncRNA (ENSGMOG00000022912.1)". The record is from RNAcentral. Lineage: Eukaryota; Metazoa; Chordata; Actinopteri; Gadiformes; Gadidae.
AUGGCGUCCCCAGCAUUGCUGCUGCUGAUGUUGAUGAUGAUGUCAUCACUGACCCUCAAGCCCUCGGCUGCAGGCAAGACUGCAGAGAAAAUCGCACAUAUAGCUGCAAAGCCAUUCAAAAUGCUACUAGACAAUCCGGAAAUCCUGACAUCAUUUCUCGAUUUAAUCGAAGACUAUGGUGGCGCAGUUGCUGGAGCUGCGACCGGCAUAAUAAAAACAGCGGUAGGGAACCCUGACUUUAAGAAACUCAUGCAAAAAAUGCAAAGCAUACAACGCGCUCUAACGGAAGUAAAAUCAUGUAUUCGUGUAGAACAAGCAAAACAUAUGUAUGGCGAAAUAGAACUAUCCAUCAAUAAUGCCUGGGUAGAACAUGAGCGCUUCAGAGACUAUAGUAAAACAUUAAAGAACGUACCAGAAGAUCAAAUGGAGAAACAUUUUAAAGCCAUCUCGAUAGGUGAAACUGACCUGUAUUCCCUAUUUUCAUUAAUUCAAAGGAAAGAGUCAUUUAUUGAGAGAGUUUACAACACCAUUGUUGAAGAGACUCGUUGUCAUGAGGAAAGGAUAGCUACUAUAGAAGGCCAUGUCAAUCAACUCAUGUUCAAACGCCUUUUCAUGAAUAUACACUUGUAUCGAUAUAAUAAUGAUGAUUAUAGCAAAACAAAGAUUGUUUCUAACGUGCAAUACUACUACCAUGGCGUAAUGGAUCUCCAUAAAGCCCUGCUGUUGAAAUGCUUUGAUACAGACACAACGUACAUCAAGCAAGAUUUUGAUUAUAAGUUGUACAAUGCAGAACACACUAAACCUAGAAAGAUGGCUAAGGCCAUCAGGGAGUAUUUGUCAGAAAAGCAUUUCAGGUAUGACUGGAUGGUGAUUGUGUACGAGACAGACAAUAACGUGUUGACACAUAUUACGAAACAUGUCCUCUCCAAAGAGUUCAUUGUGAGAACUGGACCAGCACUGACUGUAGCUGCAGCUCGGCAGCUUAAAGGCUCUCACACUAAGGUUCCAAAUAUUAAAUCGGAAAUUGAAGGCUGUCUAAAGCGGGAUUUACGUUUUAUACUUCGAUGCAAUAGUCUGCAGGAGAAAUUAGGAGCGUGUAAAUUAUUGGUGAAAAUCACCGGGAUUCAUUACUAUAGAUUCACGAGCAACAGUGAUUCUGAGGAAACAAAUAGAAAGGCUGAAAGUGCUCCGGAAGGUACAGAUCCGACUGAGCCUGAGGAGUCUUACGAAUACAGGGGGAGAUGUGACGCCUGGUCCCACUUUAGGGUGAUGAUAAAGAGUGACGAGGAGCUCCUGAACGCUGAUCCCUGCGACUCGUCACCGUGUCAGAAUGGGAGCAAGUGUAAGAAUCUGUUAGCUGUGAUUGUAUGUGAGUGUGUGUACCCGUACUUUGGAAACACAUGUGAGGAGGUGGUAAAGUACCCUGAGAAGGCCUUGGAGAAAACAAUGAACAAUUUGGUUGAGGCUCUGGAUCUCCAGUAA